Molecule: ribosomal RNA, 492 nt
Filed under: uncultured bacterium
Lineage: Bacteria
Description: partial 16S ribosomal RNA
Rfam family: Bacterial small subunit ribosomal RNA
Source: RNAcentral
AGUGAACGCUGGCGGUAGGCCUAACACAUGCAAGUCGAACGGCAGCACAGUAAGAGCUUGCUCUUACGGGUGGCGAGUGGCGGACGGGUGAGGAAUACAUCGGAAUCUACUUUUUCGUGGGUGAUAACGUAGGGAAACUUACGCUAAUACCGCAUACUACCUACGGGUGAAAGCAGGGGAUCUUCGGACCUUGCGCGAUUGAAAGAGCCGAUGUCGGAUUAGCUAGUUGGCGGGGUAAAGGCCCACCACGGCGACGAUCCGUAGCUGGUCUGAGAGGAUGAUCGGCCACACUGGAACUGAGACACGGUCCAGACUCCUACGGGAGGCAGCAGUGGGGAAUAUUGGACAAUGGGCGCAAGCCUGAUCCAGCCAUACCGCGUGGGUGAAGAAGGCCUUCGGGUUGUAAAGCCCUUUUGUUGGGAAAGAAAAGCAGCAGGUUAAUCCCCCGCUGUUCUGACGGUACCCAAAGAAUAAGCACCGGCUAACUUCGUG